UCUAAAAACACACAAAUCAAUGAUUCUGACCUAAAUUAACAUAAAACAUCUGUGGAUGUAUGCAGUGUGCUGUCACUGCGUGUUAGUUUUCUCCAACUCCGUCGACUGACUUCUAUUUUCUGAAAGGCACAUAAACAAUGGUUUCACACAGAGAUCAACAUAAAACAUCUGUUGCAUGUUUGCUUCCCGGGUCUUCCCUAUGUGGAGAGCGGUUUGAGUAGUGAGAAAAGUGCUAUAUAAAUGUAAAAGAAUUAAUUAAAAGAAUUAAGUCAACGUGAGAAGCAAUCUGGAUUGUACGAGCCCCUCGUGUGCCUCAUGUGGACAAAGUCGACAUCUGCCCUUAACAAUCCCCUUUCUCACCAUCUUCCACUUAAUGACAUUAACUCUUCUCCGUACAGGUAAAGUAAAGUUACAUUUUCGUCUAUAUUUUAUGUAUUUAUUCUUUUGUGUAAUAUUGUAUGCAUUUUCAUUGUUCUAGUAUAUGAUUUUAUGCAUGAAGUGUGGUUAUAAAGGUUUAAAUAAGCAGUCAUGGGGUUCGGGAGCGGAUGGAUCAAUUUUACAUGAUUUGGUAUGAUGGGGAAAAUGGUUUCAGUUUUUAAACAAAUCGGUUUCUAAACAGCCUUUAGGAACGAAUUUAUAAUCAAAAUCCGAGGUUCCACUGCAUUUCCUUAUUUAUUUCUUUGUGUGUUAAAUUAAUUAUGUACCCAUUUACUUAUUUCAAUGCCGCCGACAAGAUACGAAACACACCUUGAAAUGUAAUUAUUCUUAGAUUUAGUUGUCUGCGUAUUUAUUUAAUUUUUGACCACAAUAUGCCUCCAUAUUAGAUAUAUUUAUGUUCUGAAAUAUAUAUUGUAUGUAGCAAAAACAAAGUUGAAAAAUUUAAUGACAGUUUAAGUUGCUUUAGCCAAUAUAUUAAACUGUUGUACCGAGAUUGUUAAACAACUGCUCUCUCAAAGCUAAGAUUGAAGUUCUUUCAUGAGGUCUCAUCAUGCUGGUGAAGGUGAAUUAUCUUCAGGUGAAGAAAUACAUCAAAUUGCAAGAUGGGUUCACAUUUGAGGAGUUUCUAAACGAAGUAAAAAAAAAUUUGGGCUUACAGCAAAUGAUGCACUUCAAGUCUUUGAUGAGACAAAUACUAAUGUGGAGGAAGAUAUUUUUCAAGAGUUGGUUCAGAGCAACCCACAGAUAUGCUUCACAGUAAAAUGUCCUCCACAAGGACUUUUUGCUGAUCUGGAUGUUUCUGGUGGUAUUAUUUUUUUUUUU
Long non-coding RNA from Polypterus senegalus (gray bichir), 1260 nucleotides. RefSeq lists it as uncharacterized. Lineage: Eukaryota; Metazoa; Chordata; Cladistia; Polypteriformes; Polypteridae. The record is from RefSeq and is a predicted model, not a curated record. The transcript has 2 exons.